This 383-nucleotide ribosomal RNA is filed under the name uncultured eukaryote. RNAcentral's name for it is "SSU rRNA". It matches the Rfam family "Eukaryotic small subunit ribosomal RNA", at positions 587 to 972 of the family's 1831-position model. The record is from RNAcentral.
AGCUCCAAUAGCGUAUAUUAAAGUUGUUGCAGUUAAAAAGGUCGUAGUUGAAUUUCUGGUGGGAGGGAUCAGUCCAACACACUGUGUUGGAACUGGAUCCUCUUCGGCUAUCCUUGGGUGGAUCUUGUCUGGCAUUAAGUUGUCAGUCAGGGGAUGCCCAUCGUUUACUGUGAACAAAUUAGAGUGUUCAAAGCAGGCUUAUGCCAUUGAAUAUAUUAGCAUGGAAUAAUAAGAUAGGGCCCUGGUGCUAUUUUGUUAUUUUUCGUACCGAUGUAACGAGUAAUAGGAACAGUUGGGGGUAAUUGUAUUCAGUCUUCAGUGAUGAAAUAUUUGGACCUACGGAAGACAAACUACUAUAAGAGCAUUUACCAAGGAUGUUUUUA